This 1174-nucleotide unclassified non-coding RNA is filed under the name Daphnia pulex (common water flea). Its description in RNAcentral is "uncharacterized LOC124197015, transcript variant X2". The record is from RNAcentral. Lineage: Eukaryota; Metazoa; Arthropoda; Branchiopoda; Diplostraca; Daphniidae.
AAUUUUGCUUGUUUCUCGGAGUGGAUUUUGCCAGCUGUUUAUGCACGUAGGCGCGUUUUAAAAUUUGAUUAUCCGUUUGGUGGAUAAAAUAUCACUUGUGAUGUGGUCCGAUCGGGAUUUUAUUUUGGGCGUUACAUGACGCACAAAAUUUCCUAUUUUAUCCUGACAUUUUCUUUUUCUUUUAACAAAUCGCCAAUUUCUUUCCUCACAAAAGAAAUUCUUAUUGAUCGUCAAUUUCAUUCGCGAUAUUUUCUUGAUAUCAUUUGAAUAAUACUGUCGUCACUCCCGAUUUUAAAAAAGGCUAUUAGCGAUUUCUUCCUGUGGAGAUGUGUGAUGAGCGGAGUCACCAUGGUGGAGUGGAUAGGCUUUUCAGCCUAUUUCAAAUCGUUUGUCUACAAGUUUUAUUUUUUUUUUACCAUUUUGAAUCAAAUUAACGCGCUCGAGUCAGUUAUAGCAUCUUUUCUUUCCACAUAUCUAACGUAUUUCGGUUCACCUGCGUUUGGUAAAAUUGUAAAACGUGAAAAUAUUUGGUUCUUUUUUUUUACCGCGGUUAAAGUUAAUUCAUUAAUCAGCGGUUUAAAAUUUGUCUGCUACUGAUUUGAAUUACCGCGUUUCCUAUAACAACGGAAACGUUUCACCAGAAAGUACUCCACAUCCUUUGAUGGAUAAUUUGGAAAUCAAUUCGAGGGGUGUACACGUAUAAAAGAAUCAAGUUGGCGUUACAGUUAGACGAUGGAAACUACCAUGACGCCUUUCUAUAAUAUUUGAGAGCUUUGACAAAAAUGGAGAAAAUGAUGAAAGUAUUGCUUUUGGUAGUCGUCGUGGCUGUCGUACUCGAAACAGCAUCGACCUGCGACUGCGAUUACAGAAAGGGUGGCUGCCAUAUGGUGAGUCCAGCCAGUACAGGCAUGGCUUGCAAAUGCGUUUACAGAGGCGCAUGGAUAUGCCGAGGUCGUCAAGUGAGUUGCAGAGACCACAACCACCUUCUGUGCCAAAACCCCGACAAUUCAAAAGAGGCGUGCGAAUUUGCCAAUGGAGACUGCGGUGGUUAUAGUCCUCACAUAUCCGACUAAUUAUGGAACAUUCCGACAAAACUAAAUUCUUCAUCACAACACACAAUCUGCUUGUCACAUCACACAUAUUAUUCCAGAAAAUAAAAUGUUAUCAGCAGUCA